Molecule: small RNA, 1108 nt
Filed under: uncultured bacterium
Lineage: Bacteria
Description: bacterial SSU rRNA
Rfam family: Bacterial small subunit ribosomal RNA (bases 1-476)
Source: RNAcentral
AUGGCUGUCGUCAGCUCGUGUCGUGAGAUGUUGGGUUAAGUCCCGCAACGAGCGCAACCCUUGUCCUAUGUUGCCAGCGGAUAAUGCCGGGGACUCGUAGGAGACUGCCGGGGUCAACUCGGAGGAAGGUGGGGACGACGUCAAGUCAUCAUGCCCCUUAUAUCCAGGGCUGCAAACAUGCUACAAUGGCCGGUACAAAGGGCUGCAAAACCGCGAGGUUGAGCGAAUCCCAUAAAGCCGGUCUCAGUUCGGAUUGGAGUCUGCAACUCGACUCCAUGAAGGCGGAGUCGCUAGUAAUCCCGGAUCAGCAACGCCGGGGUGAAUACGUUCCCGGGCCUUGUACACACCGCCCGUCACACCACGAAAGUCGGCAACACCCGAAGGUUGCGAUUACGUGAACGAAGGUGAGCUUGGUGAUUGGGAUGAAGUCGUAACAAGGUAGCCGUAGGGGAACCUGCGGCUGGAUCACCUCCUUUCUAGGGAGUACUGAGGCAAGCUUGCUUGCCUUGGAAGGUCGAACAUUUCCGGAUAUCAAACUUGUUUGAUAAAAAGAAAUGAUUGGUGGAAGCCAUUACACAAUUUAGUUUUCAAAGAGUGAAAUGCUCUUUGUCAAGACGGGUGAAUAGAAACAACCAGGCCGAGCUUCGGCGCUGAUCAAAACGGGGCUGUAGCUCAGUUGGUAGAGCGCCUGCUUUGCAAGCAGGAUGUCAGGAGUUCGAGUCUCCUCAGCUCCACCAUCCCUUGCCGGACCUGUGCAAACAGGGCCUGUAGCUCAGUUGGUUAGAGCACGCGCUUGAUAAGCGCGGGGUCGCUGGUUCGAGUCCAGCCUGGCCCACCACCCGCCUAAACCGAAACACGAAUUUUGCCCCCUCCUGCUGGAAGGGGCGGUCGUUCUUUGACAACCCUGCAUGGAAAAAAUGCCAUGCAACUUUGUUCGGCGCCAAUAGUAUAUAUUACUAUGGUAAGUUGAUACAUUUAGAUAAGCUACUAAGGGCACGAGGUGAAUGCCUUGGUGCUGGGAGGCGAUGAAGGACGUGGUUACCUGCGAUAAGCCCCGGAGAGUCGGAAAUAGACUUUGACCCGGGGAUUUCCGAAUGGGGAAACCCGG